RNAcentral lists this long non-coding RNA (373 nucleotides) under Monodelphis domestica (gray short-tailed opossum). RNAcentral describes it as "lncRNA (ENSMODG00000036447.1)". The record is from RNAcentral. Lineage: Eukaryota; Metazoa; Chordata; Mammalia; Didelphimorphia; Didelphidae.
UGCUGAACAAAGGAACUUCUCAGUUAGGAAUAUUCAGGGUGUGAUUAAAUGUCCCAGAAGGAGAAAAGCCUGUAAACAAGGACGAUAUUCCAGCCCAAUCAAGAGGAAACCAACUCCUAUUCUCUCCUGCAGAAAGCCUGAUCUCUGUGCACAGCGAAAACUAUCCUUUUGGCUAGAAACUUGGUUUUCCUUAUUCCACUUGUCUCCAUGUCCACGACACUUGGACAUGCUGUGAUGUGAAGGGCAGUGGGCAGAUUCAGAAGAUUUGGAUUACAGAUGAGGAAAAUAAGAGAAGUUAAAUGAAUUGCUUAAGGUAACUUGCUUAAGAUAGAUCCAGGUUUAACUCAACAUCUUCUGACUGCCUAGAGCUCCU